RNAcentral lists this small RNA (1120 nucleotides) under Arabidopsis thaliana (thale cress). Its description in RNAcentral is "ATSL197540". The record is from RNAcentral. Lineage: Eukaryota; Viridiplantae; Streptophyta; Magnoliopsida; Brassicales; Brassicaceae.
UAGAAGCUUGGUUAGUAUUUUGGAGUCAAAUAAGACAAGAUGUUAUGUGUUUGAUUGAGUAUAAGAACUAGAACCGCAACAUCUUCCCAAAAGCUAAAGUUGUGUUUCCCUUCUAGAAGAUACAAAGCCAAAAACUCAUACGGACUUUGGCUACACCAUCAAAGCUUUAAGAAGCAACAAGAAGUUUGGUUAGUGUUUUGGAGUCAAAAAAGACUAUAUGUCAUGUGUAGUAUUGAGUAUAAAAACUAGAACCGCAACUGGUUCCCAAAAGCAAAAGUAGUGUUUCCUUGUUAGAAGAUACAAAGCCAAAGACUCAUACGGACUUCGGCUACACCAUGAAAAUUUUGAGAAGCAAUAAGAAGCUUGGUUAGUGUUUUGGAGUCAAAUAUGACUAGAUGUCAUGUGUAUGAUUGAGUAUAAGAACUAGAAUGGCAACCGAUUCCCAAUAGCUAAAGUUAUGUUUCCUUGUUAGAAGAUACAAAGCCAAAGACUAAUACGGACUUCGUGUACACCAUCAAAAUUUUGAGAAGCAAUAAGAAGCUUGGUUAGUAUUUUAGAGUCAAAUAUUACAGGAUAUCAUGUGUAUCAUUGAGUAUAAGAACUAGAACCGCAACCGAUUCCCAAAAGCUAAAGUAAUGUUUCUUGUUUGUAGAUACAAAGCCAAAGACUCAUACCGACUUCGGCUACACCAUCAAAGCUUUGUGAGGCAAUAAGAAGCUUGGUUAGUUUUUCGGAAUCAAAUAUGGCUAGAUGUCAUGUGUAUGAUUGAGUAUAAGAACUAGAACCGCAACUAAUUCCCAAAAGCUAAAUUAAUGUUUCCUUGUUAGAAGAUACAAAGCUAAAAACUCAUACGGACUUUGGCUAAGCCAUUAAUGUUUUGAGAAGCAAUAAGAAGCUUGGUUAUUUUUUUGGAGUCAAAUAUGACUAGAUGUCAUGUGUAUGAUUGAGUAUAACAACUAGAACCGCAACCGUUUCCCAAAAGCUAAAGUAGUGUUUCCUUGUUAGAAGUUACAAAGCCAAAGAAUCAUAUGGAAUUCAGCUACACCAUCAAAGCUUUGAGAAGCAAUAAGAAGCUUUGUUAGUUUUUUGGAGUCAAAUAUGACAAGAUGUUAUGUGUUUG